This 497-nucleotide ribosomal RNA is filed under the name uncultured bacterium. RNAcentral describes it as "partial 16S ribosomal RNA". It matches the Rfam family "Bacterial small subunit ribosomal RNA", at positions 28 to 507 of the family's 1533-position model. The record is from RNAcentral.
GAUGAACGCUGGCGGCGUGCCUAAUACAUGCAAGUCGAGCGAACAGACGAGGAGCUUGCUCCUCUGACGUUAGCGGCGGACGGGUGAGUAACGCGUGGAUAACCUACCUAUAAGACUGGGAUAACUUCGGGAAACCGGAGCUAAUACCGGAUAAUAUAUUGAACCGCAUGGUUCAAUAGUGAAAGACGGUUUUGCUGUCACUUAUAGAUGGAUCCGCGCCGCAUUAGCUAGUUGGUAAGGUAACGGCUUACCAAGGCAACGAUGCGUAGCCGACCUGAGAGGGCGAUCGGCCACACUGGAACUGAGACACGGUCCAGACUCCUACGGGAGGCAGCAGUAGGGAAUCUUCCGCAAUGGGCGAAAGCCUGACGGAGCAACGCCGCGUGAGUGAUGAAGGUCUUCGGAUCGUAAAACUCUGUUAUUAGGGAAGAACAAAUGUGUAAGUAACUAUGCACGUCUUGACGGUACCUAAUCAGAAAGCCACGGCUAACUACGUG